Long non-coding RNA from Melopsittacus undulatus (budgerigar), 599 nucleotides. RefSeq lists it as uncharacterized. Lineage: Eukaryota; Metazoa; Chordata; Aves; Psittaciformes; Psittaculidae. The transcript is spliced from 4 exons. The record is from RefSeq and is a predicted model, not a curated record.
GUGCUGUGAUGCUGCCAGCCACUGCCCUCCCUGCUGCACAAGUGUGCCUCUGCAGUCCUUCCUUCUCCACCCCUCACCAGCCCCAGACAUGAGGCCGGGGACACAGAGGGGUGAGACAUGCAGGCUGUUUGCCUCUAAGGAGCUUUUGUGCCUCAUUCGCCUGCUGCAGGGGUCUGGAGGAUCAGCACAAGUCUUGAAAUGCUUCAUAAGAAUUUCCACACUGAAAGGGAGCAGUGGAAGCUUCUAAUGCAUCUGGCUGUAGACUUCCCUCAAGAACCAAAUAAAUCUAGGGCUGCUGAUAUGUAUUGGAUCCACCAUGUGAUUUGUAUUGAAGUCCCUUGGUGAGAAGAAAUGCUGUGAACAAAUACCGUUAAGUACACCCAAACCAGCAACUGUGAGAUCAGGGCUGAGCGCCAGACCUGCUGUUGGUCAAUGGGGACAGACAGACAGGUUUCAUGACAUGCUCAAGAUCAUAUGAGCUGCCUGUGACAGAAUGAGAAACUGCACCUGGAUCUCUCAAUUGUGAGGCUGUUGGUUUUGGCACUGCAUCGUCUUGACUGCAAACCACACAUCCAGAUUGACUUUCUCUGUGUGCUUCC